Molecule: ribosomal RNA, 257 nt
Filed under: uncultured bacterium
Lineage: Bacteria
Description: partial 16S ribosomal RNA
Rfam family: Bacterial small subunit ribosomal RNA
Source: RNAcentral
GUAGUCCUACGGGGCGCAGCAGUGAGGAAUAUUGGUCAAUGGGCGGGAGCCUGAACCAGCCAAGCCGCGUGAAGGAAGAAGGCGCCAGGCGUCGUAAACUUCUUUUGUCGGGGAACAAAGGGCGCCACGUGUGGCGUUGUGAGUGUACCCGAAGAAAAAGCAUCGGCUAACUCCGUGCCAGCAGCAACGGUAAUACGGAGGAUGCGAGCGUUAUCCGGAUUUAUUGGGUUUAAAGGGUGCGUAGGCGGUCCGGAAAG